Non-coding RNA from Cyanistes caeruleus (blue tit), 1589 nucleotides. The record is from RefSeq and is a predicted model, not a curated record. NCBI's taxonomy places the organism in Eukaryota, Metazoa, Chordata, Aves, Passeriformes, Paridae.
UCCAAGUGGCCAGAGAAAUAGCCCCUUGUACCAGCCGCUGGGGUCAUUUUGCAUUGGGGGAGAAGCCACCAGUUUCAGGAGCUGGGACAGCAUCUGCUUUGAGGGCUCUGAGGGCAGAGUAGCCACAGUGAGACCUUUUGUGGUCUGGGCCCCUAUAACACUCCGUGGGAGGGACCUGUUAUCGCACUGGGGGACAUGACUAGAAAUCCUCACCCUACCACUGGAUUUCUAAGUCAGGGCCACUGAGCAGUGUACCUCCAGUUAACUUGGAAGACUGACAACCCCAUAUGGGUGGAUUUCUUCUUCCAGAGAAAAAAAUUAAAGGUGCUGCAGUCCCUUAUACAGGAGCAGGUGUCCAAGGGUUGUAUAGUUCUAUCUGUUAUCCCUUGGAACAUGCCUGUCUUCAUUAUUCAAAAACCAGGCAAGGACAGGUGGUGGUUCCUGCAAGACUUACGAAAGAGCAAUGAGGUUACUGAGGGUAAAGGUCCCUUCCAGCCUGGCCUGCCCACAGCCUCUGUGAUUCCCCAAGACUGGCAGAUGGUGGUCAUCAACCUGAAGGACUAUUUUUUUAAUCUCCUGCUCCAGACAGAUGAUGCCCCCAAUUUGUGUUCUCAGUCCCAUCCCUAAAUAGACAGGCACCUCUGCAAUAAUACCGUAACAGUCUUGCCACAAGGCAUGAAGAACCCACCAACAAUCUGCCAGUGGUUUGUGGCCCGAAUCUUGUCCUCUGUUAGGAGGAAAUACCCCAGUGCAAUCAUCCUCCACUACAUGGAUGACAUUCUCAGCAGUGCAGGGACUCGUUUCCUGUUAGACUGUGCUCUUCAAGAUGUCACGGAAACUGUACAGAGCAGGGGGUUUGAGAUUGCUGAGAAGAUCCAGCACACCACUCUGUGGAAGUGCCUUGGCCUCACAGUUGCAGAGAGGAUCAUCAUGCCCCAGCCUCUACAGAUCAAGGAUGACCCCAGGACCCUCUGAGAUCUGCACUGUCUCUUCAGGAGCACCAACUGGGUUCGUCCACUGCUGGGGAUCGGUACCAAGGACCUCACACCGCUCUUCCAGCUCUUGAAGGGUGAUGAGGAUGUCGAUGCUCCAUGAUCCCUAACACCAGAGGCCAGGGCGCUGGUAGAACAGUUUGGUGCCAAAACCUAAGAAGUUCAAUUCCAUUAAAGGCUCUGACUGCCUUCACCGAUGGAUCUGGGAGUUCCAUAACUCUGCCAUCACCUGGAAGGACCAGGACCUGGCUACACAGCAGAAGGGAGUCAAACAUUGAAAUCGUCCGUGGGUCUCCUCAGAUCACCAAAUUAGCAGCAAUGGGGCAGGCCCAAGGUGGAUCCCAGCAAAUAAUAUAAAACCAUUUAUCAAACUUAUAAAGCCAACAUCAGGACAAUGGCCAGAGGAAGCAGAAGAAAAGACAAAUAACACUGAGGAGGCCUGGAAGAGCAGGAGAAGCAAAAAGAUCAUCCACAAAAAAAGAGCCCCAUGGCAGAGGAGAUGGCAUUGGACUAUACCACCUACUCAGAAAUUUCCCACCGAACUGAAACUGUGUGACUAGACAAUCCCAUUCAUGUUUUGUCACAGAGUUUUUGGAG